This is a non-coding RNA of Danio rerio (zebrafish), 71 nucleotides long. NCBI's taxonomy places the organism in Eukaryota, Metazoa, Chordata, Actinopteri, Cypriniformes, Danionidae. The record is from Rfam.
GGAUUGGUGUUUCAGUGGUAGAAUUCUCGCCUGCCACGCGGGAGACCCGGGUCCGAUUCCCGGCCAAUGCA